GGUCAAGCUAAUAAGAGCUGACGGUGGAUACCUAGGCACACAGAGGCGA
RNAcentral lists this ribosomal RNA (49 nucleotides) under Desmonostoc sp. CCIBt3489. RNAcentral's name for it is "partial 23S ribosomal RNA". Lineage: Bacteria; Bacillati; Cyanobacteriota; Cyanophyceae; Nostocales; Nostocaceae. The record is from RNAcentral.